Molecule: non-coding RNA, 24 nt
Filed under: Arabidopsis thaliana (thale cress)
Lineage: Eukaryota; Viridiplantae; Streptophyta; Magnoliopsida; Brassicales; Brassicaceae
Source: RNAcentral
GGCAAUUACUGUCUGCUGGGUCCA